UGUGAACUGAGACAGAGGGAGAUAAAGCC
Molecule: non-coding RNA, 29 nt
Filed under: Homo sapiens (human)
Lineage: Eukaryota; Metazoa; Chordata; Mammalia; Primates; Hominidae
Source: RNAcentral